RNAcentral lists this unclassified non-coding RNA (236 nucleotides) under Hevea brasiliensis (rubber tree). Lineage: Eukaryota; Viridiplantae; Streptophyta; Magnoliopsida; Malpighiales; Euphorbiaceae. The record is from RNAcentral.
GGACGAUUCUUUUUGUUUACCUCCGAGUACAUUUCCUCUAUCAAUGGUUUCCAGAGGCGAACUCUCGCAUUUAUAAACCAGUUGGACACCUGGCUUCUCGUCAAUCCACUUUGAAUGGCUAGCAAAUGCUUUUCGUUGUCUUUUGGGUACGGGUGAAGAAAGUUUUGGAACAUCCAUGCACGUAGAACCGAGACAGAUUUCUCAGGCAGGCCCCUCUGAGGCCUCCAAGAUUGUUG